UGGGUGACCUGCCCCCUACUCUGGGAUAAGCCUGGGAAACUGGGUCUAAUACCGGAUAUGACUACAUGUCGCAUGGUGUGUGGUGGAGAGUUUUUUCGGGUGGGGGAUGGGCCCGCGGCCUAUCAGCUUGUUGGUGGGGUGAUGGCCUACCAAGGCGACGACGGGUAGCCGGCCUGAGAGGGCGACCGGCCACACUGGGACUGAGACACGGCCCAGACUCCGUACGGGAG
Molecule: ribosomal RNA, 230 nt
Filed under: uncultured bacterium
Lineage: Bacteria
Description: partial 16S ribosomal RNA
Rfam family: Bacterial small subunit ribosomal RNA
Source: RNAcentral